Long non-coding RNA from Mauremys mutica (yellowpond turtle), 610 nucleotides. RefSeq lists it as uncharacterized. Lineage: Eukaryota; Metazoa; Chordata; Testudines; Geoemydidae. The record is from RefSeq and is a predicted model, not a curated record. The transcript is spliced from 3 exons.
UUUGUUGUGAUCUUUUUGGUGCCUUGAGGGUUAGUGUGAGAUUGUGCCAUAGGCAACAGGGGACCGUUCUAGGUGUGCCUUAGAAUUGGCAGAUAGCAGUUCAAGUCAGGCACAUUGUCCUUAAAAUCAAGGUAUUCAUAAAUUGAUCAAACUGGAAAAGGGCCAUGGUAGAGCUAAGAGAAUGCUCGUAUGAACAGAUGUAAAAAUUGAUACAAUCUGCGACAGACUUUUUAUUAACUGAGCCCAAAGUUGAAAGAACACAGAAAACGUGAAAUGCAUUUAAUUUAGAUCCAGCCUGAAAGGUCGCCAUAAAGGGAAGAAAGCCACAGGAGCCUUGGACCAAACAGCUGAGGCAGGCUGCACACAGGGAGAUCCUUUGGCAGUAUUCGGAGGAGAUGUUGAUUUUCUCUCCCCAGGAGAUGCAAGGGUAAUGCUGCUCCAGUCAAGUGGCAUCAAGAAUUAGGGGAAAUGCGAGGAAUGGAUCACACUGAACUGUGGCCCUAGAUUACAGCCUUUAAGGGCACCGUUUCCUGAGUCACUGACUCAGUGGAAAGGAAGGAAUACACUGGAAGAGAACAUGUGUCAUGCCUUUAUUUCUAAAUGUUAGGUG